This is a long non-coding RNA of Maniola jurtina (meadow brown), 537 nucleotides long. RefSeq lists it as uncharacterized. The transcript is spliced from 3 exons. NCBI's taxonomy places the organism in Eukaryota, Metazoa, Arthropoda, Insecta, Lepidoptera, Nymphalidae. The record is from RefSeq and is a predicted model, not a curated record.
UUUGAAUUUCAUUGAAUAGACAGCGUUUGUAGUCCCAGGUCGUGGUCUAUUUGUAUUCGUUAGGAUGUUAUUUGGUAUGACAAAUGCACCGUCGAAUUACACAGACUUUCUGAUCGUUUGUUUGGACCAGAUUUUGAUAACGAAGUCCUGUUACCUAGAUGAUAUUAUUAUUUUACUUUCAAAAGAUUUUAAAUUCAUUCAGCAUUUUAGAUAAAUAAAUAUCAAAGAUUAAAAGAUUCUAGACUUGCAAAUAACUUAAAUAAAUUUGAAUUUUGCUAAAGAAUAUAAUAUUCCAAAAAUAUUUCAUAACAUACUCCUCAGAAUAACCCAGUUGAACGUUUUAAUAAAACUAUUGAGACUUGCUUAGCAUGCUAUGUUGAAAGUGACCAUAGAACGUGGUCUAAAUAUUUACCCCAUGUUCAGGCAGCUAUUAAUGGCACUAUUAAUUUAGUUACAGGAUACACACCUAAUUUUCUUAUGUUUGGUAGGGAAGUUUUCCUUGAUGGAUCCUUACAUAAAUUUUAUUCUAUCUCUGAC